RNAcentral lists this ribosomal RNA (253 nucleotides) under uncultured bacterium. RNAcentral describes it as "partial 16S ribosomal RNA". It matches the Rfam family "Bacterial small subunit ribosomal RNA", at positions 524 to 776 of the family's 1533-position model. The record is from RNAcentral.
UACGAGAGGUGCAAGCGUUAUUCGGAAUUACUGGGCGUAAAGGGCGCGUAGGCGGCCUGCUAAGUCGGAUGUGAAAUCCCUCGGCUCAACCGAGGAACUGCAUCCGAUACUGGCGGGCUUGAAUUCGGGAGAGGGAUGCAGAAUUCCAGGUGUAGCGGUGAAAUGCGUAGAUAUCUGGAGGAAUACCGGUGGCGAAGGCGGCAUCCUGGACCGACAUUGACGCUGAGGAGCGAAAGCUAGGGGAGCAAACGGG